This 428-nucleotide ribosomal RNA is filed under the name uncultured bacterium. Its description in RNAcentral is "partial 16S ribosomal RNA". It matches the Rfam family "Bacterial small subunit ribosomal RNA", at positions 354 to 796 of the family's 1533-position model. The record is from RNAcentral.
GUAGGGAAUAUUGGACAAUGGGGGCAACCCUGAUCCAGCGACGCCGCGUGAGUGAUGAAGGCCUUCGGGUCGUAAAGCUCUGUUGCAGGGGAAGAACACAAUGACGGUACCCUGCUAGAAAGGAUCGGCUAACUUCGUGCCAGCAGCCGCGGUAAGACGAGGGAUCCUAGCGUUGUUCGGAAUUAUUGGGCGUAAAGCGGGUGCAGGUGGCUUGGUAAGUCAGAUGUGAAAGCCUGGGGCUUAACCCCAGAAGUGCAUUUGAUACUGCUGAGCUUGAGUGCUGGAGACGCUAUUAGAAUUCCUGGUGUAGUGGUGAAAUACGUAGAUAUCAGGAGGAAUACCGGAGGCGAAGGCGGAUAGCUGGCCAGACACUGACACUAAGACCCGAAAGCGUGCGGAUCAAACAGGAUUAGAAACCCGUGUAGUCC